Salvelinus sp. IW2-2015 is the source of this 1480-nucleotide long non-coding RNA. RefSeq lists it as uncharacterized. NCBI's taxonomy places the organism in Eukaryota, Metazoa, Chordata, Actinopteri, Salmoniformes, Salmonidae. The record is from RefSeq and is a predicted model, not a curated record.
CUAGCUAGCCAUUUCACAUCCGUUACACCUGAACAUACAAAAAGUAGUUCAAAUAAUAUUCUAUUUGAUACUUUUAUUACAGUACAUUUUGUAGGUCCAUUUUCGGUGGAGGCUCGACCGUUUUAUAUAACGGAUCUCGUAUCUUUGACCCCGACAUGACGAAAAGGUAGGCAGAGUCAGGGGCUGGAUUUAGGUUCUCUCUUAUUGUGGUGGCUUUAUGUAUUUUUCCCGUGUUUAUGCCGGUUUUUUGUGUUUAAUUGUCCGUAUAAGACUGCAUGGAAUUAAGUAUGAGCUAUCCUGAAAUAUUUUAUUGACAACAUUCCAUCUUGUUUGAUUUAAUAAUUGUGCUAUGGUAAACAUGGAAGAUUAAAACCUGAACAUAAAUACGCCUGUUGUCAAAUAAUAACAUGCCUGCAUUUUGAAAGGAAGAGGUAGGAAGACUGAUUGAUUGAAGAAAUAGGUAGAAAGAGCUCAGCAUGCAAUAAUUGGCUGUAGCUGCGACCAGCUGCUCACUAUCCCACACAUAUUGUGUGUUCUGUUUUGUGCAUAACAAGCCAAAGUAGCUUUGCGCAGAACUUAAGAGUAAAUGACUUUAAAAUUGUAAAAAUGUGCAAUGUUUUUGUACACCGCGCGCAAAAAAAGCAGAAAAUGGCGUGCAUUGUUUACAAAAAUAUAACGCGUAUUUCUUGAUUUCCUGUAUUCAAUCCAUCAAUGGAGCGCUUUAUGAGCUUGUAGCUACACUGUUGACAAAACCCUUCGGCCCUUAUCCACAAUCCAUUCAGUGGGUAUAUUCUGUUCAGAAAUCAGGUGUUUAGAAUUGUGUAUUCACUCUAUCCAAACUUGAAAUCUCCAGCGUGGGACAAGUGACAAGAUUAACCUUUUGCGAGGAAGAAAACAAAUACUAGUGGUAUUUUUGAUUGGACACUGUAACCUAAUACAUUUCAUACAGGGUUUUGUUACAAAGUAUCUAUGACGUGGAUUUUCAAUGUAGCCUAUGAUUUUUUGAAAUCUUCAAUAGUGUUUAGCUACUCUGUGACGCAUAUCAUAAUCUCAUUGUAAAUGUCAUGGCCUGUAACACUAAACUGUGUCCCUCAGGUGGUGGAGAAGCAUGGCCAGCACCAAGGUCACGUUGAAGAACCCAGGAGCUUCAGAGAAGCAACGUUUUGAUGGCUUUAUUGGAGGGUGCACUGGUCAGGGUUAGGCGCUGCUGUAAAGUGCCAGUCUUUAAGAUUAUAAUCUACAAGGAGGAUGAGCAGGUGAUUGGGUCAGUCAAGGACCUUGUUGUGCAGAGCGGAUGCAACUUUUCAAUAGCUGAGAUUCUUUGCAUGGAGAGUUUUAUACUAGAUGAGCUGAACUGGUACCUGUACGCCACGACACCAAUCGACUUCCUUUGCAUGUUCCAUGCCCUGUUGAUCUCUAGUCAUCCCCACCUUCCCACCAUGGGUGCUGAGACUCAGAAGAGGCCUUGCUUCCAGGUGGC